UACGAAGGGGGCUAGCGUUGCUCGGAAUCACUGGGCGUAAAGCGCACGUAGGCGGCUUCUUAAGUCAGGGGUGAAAUCCUGGAGCUCAACUCCAGAACUGCCUUUGAUACUGGAAAGCUCGAGUCCGGGAGAGGUGAGUGGAACUGCGAGUGUAGAGGUGAAAUUCGUAGAUAUUCGCAAGAACACCAGUGGCGAAGGCGGCUCACUGGCCCGGUACUGACGCUGAGGUGCGAAAGCGUGGGGAGCAAACAGG
RNAcentral lists this ribosomal RNA (253 nucleotides) under uncultured bacterium. RNAcentral describes it as "partial 16S ribosomal RNA". It matches the Rfam family "Bacterial small subunit ribosomal RNA", at positions 524 to 776 of the family's 1533-position model. The record is from RNAcentral.